GGGAGUGAGGGGGCUUACAGCUGUGCGCUUUGAGACCUGCAGUGCGCAGCUUCGGGGCGCAGUGAAAGGAGGUCGGAUCCGGAAAUGCUUCCUCUUUUCUUGGGAGACUCAGCCAUGAGCACAGAGAAGCUCUGCUCCUCGAUUCAUCUGAAAAUCAACAAGCCUGGUUCUUGAUUAACCUUCACCACAAAGAUGUGCAGGUGAAGAUGGAAAAUGUGAUCUGUGAGUGGUACACCUGAUAAGAUGUCAGGUUACCACUACGUAGGACAGAUGGCCAAAUAUACACUGCUCAAAAAAAAAAAUAAAGGGAACACUUAAACAACACAAUGUAACUCCAAGUCAGUCACACUUCUGUGAAAUCAAACUGUCCACUUAGGAAGCAACGCUGAUUGACAGUCAAUUUCACAUGAUGUUGUGCAAACGGAAUAGACAACAGGUGGAAAUUGACACCCCCAAUAAAAGACUGGUUCUGCAGGUGGUGACCACAGACCACUUCUCAGUUCCUAGGCUUUCUGGCUGAUGUUUUGGUCACUUUAGAAUGCUGGCGGUGCUUUCACUCUAGUGGUAGCAUGAGACAGAGUCUACAACCCACGCAAGUGGCUCAGGUAGGGCAGCUCAUCCAGGAUGGCACAUCAAUGCAAGCUGUGGCAAGGAGAUUUGCUGUGUCUGUCAGUGUAGUGUUCAGAGCAUGGAGGCCAUAGGAGGGCAACAACCCGGCAGCAGGAGCACUGCCAGAGCCCUGCAAAAUGACCUCCAGCAGGCCACAAAUGUGCAUGUGUCUGCUCAAAUGGUCCGAAACAGACUUGAUGAGGGUGGUAUGAGGGCCUGAUGUCCACAGGUGGGGGUUGUGCUUACAGCCCAACACUGUGCAGAACGUUUGGCAUUUGCCAGAGAACACCAAGACUGGUGUUCCCUCCAUGUGCUCUUCAGAGGUAGCCUGACUGCCAUUAGGUACCGAGAUGAGAUCCUCAGACCCCUUGUGAGACCAUAAGCUGGUGCGGUUGGCCCUGGGUUCCUCCUAAUGCAAGACAAUGCUAGACCUCAUGUGGCUGGAGUGUGUCAGCAGUUCCUGCAAGACAAAGGCAUUGAUGCUAUGGACUGGCCCACCCGUUCCCCACACCUGAAUCCAAAUGAGCACAUCUGGGACAUCAUGUCUCGCUCCAUCCACCGUCAUGUUGCACCUCAGACUGUCCAGGAGUUGGCGGGUGCUUUAGUCCAGGUCUGGGAGGAGAUCCCUUAGGCAACCAUCCACCACCUCAUCAGGAGCAUGCCCAGGCAUUGUAGGGAGGUCAUACAGGCACGUGGAGGCCACACACACUACUGAGCCUUAUUUGGACUUGUUUUAAGGACAUUACAUCAAAAUUGAAUCAGCCUGGUAGUGUGUUUUUCCACUUUUAUUAUUUAACCCUCCAUGGGUUAAUAAAUCUGGUUUACAUUGAUAAUUUUUGUGUGAUUUUGUUGUCAGCACAUUCAACUAUGUAAAGAACAAAGUAUUUAAUAAGAAUAUUUCAUUCAUUCAGAUCCAGGAUGUGUUGUUUUAGUGUUCUCUUUAUUUUUUUGAGCAGUGUAGGUUUUCACCACAUGGACCUUUAGCUGCUUCAGAUGUCGUGCUGUGAUCAUGAGAUGCACCAGAUGUAAUCCUUUCUCUUUUGUGCUGAUCAAAAGAUGACUCAUUGGAGAAGCAGUGGGACAAAAACACACUUAGUGUUAGCUUCAUCUCAGCUGUGGGUACAGAGCAAGCUAGCUGACCAGACCGUCCAUGGAGAAGCCUUAUUUGAAAGUGUUGUUGGAGCUGAUGGAUCACCAUUUGGAGUCUAGAGUUUAUUUGGAAUUUCUUCUUGAAGCUUAAUGCCAUCUGUUGAACACCAGCUGAUUAAAAUAUCUGCGCUUUAGCUACUUCAGGACAGACGCUGAUCUAUGCUCACGUCAUGAUCCACCUGCAGACCAUUUGCACUGUUUACCUCACUUACUCUGUACUGCCUCACUUUUGUACUACCUCCAGAACUAUAUUUGUUUUACUUAUUUUAUUUUACCUUAUUUUAUUUUAUUCUGUCAUAAUAUGUUACUCGUUCUUAUGUUCUGUGCACCAAUCACCAAGACAAAUUCCUAGUAAUAUGAAAACUCUCCACUUACAUGGCAGUAAAGACAAUUCUGAUUCUGAUUUAAUAAAACCUUACCUGUAUGGGGUGAAAAAUGCCUGGACGUGAUCUUUUGAAUGUGUAUUUUAGAUGUUUUCCUUUUUAAAAAUGUACUGGAUUCACAGUUUGGUUAACUAUUAACGUACCCCCUUUAUUGCCACUGAAUUAAAUUCAAGGUGUUUUUGUAUGCCUGCAUUGAUUUGAGUCUAUGACUACGAAGGAAUGAAGGAUACAAAACUAAAUGGUCGUCAUCAACUGGGUGUAUGGCUGGUGUGAUUUUUUUGUGCUCCCUACCCGUGUUUUUAAACCUUCAGAGAGGUCCUACUCCUCUGUGAUGUAAGUGUCUGCUCCCGGUGCGUAGGUGUAGAUGAAGCGUAGGAUAUUCUGGUGGAGCUCAUCCAGGGUCACGUCUCUCUUGUGCAAACCAUCCACAUCUCCCAGGUCACAAGGAAAUACUGCAUUUGGUGGAAUAACAAGAGCGGAGGCCCCUGUGGGAAGAAGCAGUACGGCACACUCUGC
Molecule: long non-coding RNA, 2657 nt
Organism: Scatophagus argus
Lineage: Eukaryota; Metazoa; Chordata; Actinopteri; Scatophagidae
Exons: 9
Source: RefSeq, a predicted model, not a curated record